This is a non-coding RNA of Phascolarctos cinereus (koala), 1736 nucleotides long. The record is from RefSeq and is a predicted model, not a curated record. Lineage: Eukaryota; Metazoa; Chordata; Mammalia; Diprotodontia; Phascolarctidae.
GUGUCUCCAAAUUCAUCUCCACUCUGCCUCGCCUUUUCAAAGCCCAGUUCUAGCAGCUCCAGCAUGCCUCAGGAAAGAAACUAGCCUGAUCUAUAUUGGUGAUGGAGGAAAAUCUGGUUGUUGUUAUUGUUAUCUGUCCUUCAUUCUUGAAGAGGACUGUGACACCAGGAAGGUGAUACCAUGACUUACGAGAAGUCUCCUUCCCUUUCUCCCUCUUGCCAAGAUCCCAUCCAGCCAUGCAGUCCAGAGCCAUCUGCCCCAGGGCUUGUACUGCUUCUCCUCAUCUGUACUAGCACCUUCUGCACUGAACUUCCAGAAUCUAUAUGUGGAAUCUCCAGAGUCCGUGAGAAGGGCCCCCAAAAUCCAUGCCCCCGGGCCCUAGAAAAAUCAAUUGAAAUGACUUUGGAACUCUGACUUUGGAGCCCAGCCAUCUUGAAUGACAAUUGAAUGAGUACCAGCUUACACAGCCUAGUAUCUAACUGGCCCCAGAUCAGGAACAUCCUUCACAUACCAUCCAGCUCUCCAUCUUGCUGUCUGCAUGAACAUCACCAUCAUUUCUAGAAAGGGCAAGUCAAUUGACUGUCUUCUGGAUCAAUUCACUCUUAAUGACUCAGCAGACCAAAACUCCAUCUCCUGGCAGCCUUCCUCAACAUACCGUUGUCUCUCCCUACUAGAAUGUAAGCUCCUUGAGGGCAGACACUAUAUCACUUUUUAAGUUUGUGCUUACAUUUUUUAGCCUAGAACCUAGCACAUAAUAAGGACUUAAUACAUGCUUUUUUAUGCAUUCAUUUGUUCAUUUCUUUACCACAUGAUAGCCCUUCAAAUAGUAUUCUCUUCACUCAUAUAAGGUAUUUCCAAGACUCCUACCUUACUCUCCCUUAAACAUACUAUAGUGUGUUGAUGUCCCUCUUAAAAUGAAAUGGCUAGGAUAGAAUGCAAUAAUCCAGAUGUGAUCAGACCAGCACAGAAUUGCUCAAAAGCCAGAAUGCUGGUGGCCAUGAAAGAUUAAAUGCUAUGACUGAAAGUGCCCCAUUUAUAAGUAGGGUGUCCCUGCUGCCAAGGGAGAAUACGGCUCCAUAUUUUGGAGAUGGCAUUUUCUGGAGAAACAAUUGGUGACUGUAUUUUCAUCUUCAUCUUGUGUCGUAUGGAGUUAGGGAAAUACAUGUGAGCCGGAGGAGUUUUUGUUUUGUACACUUGAAGCAGUUACUCAUUUUGGGAGAAGCGUUGAAUGCAAACUGGAUCCAGACCCACUAAGUUUUGUCCGACACAGGUGUUGAUAUGCUGAAUGGAUAUUAAGUUGGCAAAGCAAAUGAACAGCACUGACUUACUCAUUAGAGGGAGCUUUUAUACCUACAAGAAUGCCAGGAGGAUGCAAAAAUGGGAGUGUUUGAUGACACCUAUAAGACUUUCCCACUCUAAAUCCACCUAUGAACCUUAGUACAAAGGGAUUUGACACCUCCUCCCCAACCACCCCCCCAAGCCUCAUCCCUGUACAUUCUCCUUCUAAAUUCUAAUCCUCCAAAAGUUUACCAGCAAAGAAGUUCCUAAGUGCCCUUGAACCACUCAAAGUAGAAUGGAUGAUCCUUGAGGGCAGGGACUUUCUCAUUUUUGUUGGGCUGGUUUUUUUUUAAUCCCCAGGUCUAGGGCAAUGCUUUGUAUACAGCAAAUACCUGAAUUUUUAAAAUUCAUUUGAACUGAAUGUAAUGGAAUGAAAUUGAAGCCACCAGUAUCAAAUA